This 958-nucleotide ribosomal RNA is filed under the name uncultured soil bacterium. Its description in RNAcentral is "SSU rRNA". It matches the Rfam family "Bacterial small subunit ribosomal RNA". The record is from RNAcentral.
UGUCUAUCUAAGUACUACAGAUCGCCUUAGAGUUUGAUCCUGGCUCAGAUUGAACGCUGGCGGCAUGCCUUACACAUGCAAGUCGAACGGCAGCACGGACUUCGGUCGGGCGGCGAGCGGCGAACGGGUGAGUAACACAUCGGAACGUACCCUGUCGUGGGGGAUAACUAUCCGAAAGGAUAGCUAAUACCGCAUACGACCUGAGGGUGAAAGCGGGGGACCGGUAACGGCCUCGCGCGAUAGGAGCGGCCGAUGUUCGAUUAGCUAGUUGGUAGGGUAAAGGCCUACCAAGGCGACGAUCGAUAGCUGGUCUGAGAGGACGACCAGCCACACUGGGACUGAGACACGGCCCAGACUCCUACGGGAGGCAGCAGUGGGGAAUUUUUGACAAUGGGCGCAAGCCUGAUCCAGCCAUUCCGCGUGAGUGAAGAAGGCCUUCGGGUUGUAAAGCUCUUUCGGCAGGAACGAAACGGUGGCGGCUAAUAUCCGCUGCUAAUGACGGUACCUGAAGAAGAAGCACCGGCUAACUACGUGUCAGCAGCCGCGGUAAUACGUAUGGUGCGAGCGUUAAUCGGAAUUACUGGGCGUAAAGCGUGCGCAGCGGUUUCGUAGACAGAUGUGAAAUCCCCCGGCUUAACCUCGGGACUGCGUUUGUGACUGCGAGAACUUGAGUGCGCAGAAGGGGGGUGGGAUUCCUCGGGUAGCAGUGAAAUGCGUAGAGAUGUGGAGGACACCAAUGCCAAGGAGCCCCCUGGGUCGACUGACCUCAUGCACGAAAGCCUGGGGAGGGAAACAGAUAAAUACCUGUUAGUCCCCGCCCCUCAACGAUGUCAACUACGUGUUGGGAGGAGAAGUCUUCUUUGUACUCACCUAACCCUGAAUGACGGCUCUGGGGAUCGGGCUCCAGGUGCUCACGAUUGUACGCGACGCCCCCACGCAGCGAGGGAUGGGAUGAAUC